This 852-nucleotide ribosomal RNA is filed under the name Salmonella enterica. Its description in RNAcentral is "partial 23S ribosomal RNA". It matches the Rfam family "Bacterial large subunit ribosomal RNA", at positions 2096 to 2925 of the family's 2925-position model. The record is from RNAcentral. Lineage: Bacteria; Pseudomonadati; Pseudomonadota; Gammaproteobacteria; Enterobacterales; Enterobacteriaceae.
AACCUUUACUAUAGCUUGACACUGAACAUUGAGCCUUGAUGUGUAGGAUAGGUGGGAGGCUUUGAAGUGUGGACGCCAGUCUGCAUGGAGCCGACCUUGAAAUACCACCCUUUAAUGUUUGAUGUUCUAACGUGGACCCGUUACCCGGGUUGCGGACAGUGUCUGGUGGGUAGUUUGACUGGGGCGGUCUCCUCCUAAAGAGUAACGGAGGAGCACGAAGGUUGGCUAAUCCUGGUCGGACAUCAGGAGGUUAGUGCAAUGGCAUAAGCCAGCUUGACUGCGAGCGUGACGGCGCGAGCAGGUGCGAAAGCAGGUCAUAGUGAUCCGGUGGUUCUGAAUGGAAGGGCCAUCGCUCAACGGAUAAAAGGUACUCCGGGGAUAACAGGCUGAUACCGCCCAAGAGUUCAUAUCGACGGCGGUGUUUGGCACCUCGAUGUCGGCUCAUCACAUCCUGGGGCUGAAGUAGGUCCCAAGGGUAUGGCUGUUCGCCAUUUAAAGUGGUACGCGAGCUGGGUUUAGAACGUCGUGAGACAGUUCGGUCCCUAUCUGCCGUGGGCGCUGGAGAACUGAGGGGGGCUGCUCCUAGUACGAGAGGACCGGAGUGGACGCAUCACUGGUGUUCGGGUUGUCAUGCCAAUGGCACUGCCCGGUAGCUAAAUGCGGAAGAGAUAAGUGCUGAAAGCAUCUAAGCACGAAACUUGCCCCGAGAUGAGUUCUCCCUGAGACUUAGAGUCUCCUGAAGGAACGUUGAAGACGACGACGUUGAUAGGCCGGGUGUGUAAGCGCAGCGAUGCGUUGAGCUAACCGGUACUAAUGAACCGUGAGGCUUAACCUUACAACGCCGAAGCUGUU